CCUACGGGGGGCAGCAGUGGGGAAUAUUGCACAAUGGGGGAAACCCUGAUGCAGCGACGCCGCGUGAGUGAUGAAGUAUUUCGGUAUGUAAAGCUCUAUCAGCAGGGAAGAUAAUGACGGUACCUGACUAAGAAGCUCCGGCUAAAUACGUGCCAGCAGCCGCGGUAAUACGUAUGGAGCAAGCGUUAUCCGGAUUUACUGGGUGUAAAGGGAGCGCAGACGGCGGGGCAAGUCUGAUGUGAAAGUCCGGGGCUCAACCCCGGGACUGCAUUGGAAACUGUCCGGCUAGAGUGCAGGAGAGGGAA
This 305-nucleotide ribosomal RNA is filed under the name uncultured bacterium. Its description in RNAcentral is "bacterial SSU rRNA". It matches the Rfam family "Bacterial small subunit ribosomal RNA", at positions 338 to 660 of the family's 1533-position model. The record is from RNAcentral.